This 23-nucleotide small nuclear RNA is filed under the name Arabidopsis thaliana (thale cress). RNAcentral's name for it is "snRNA_15575". Lineage: Eukaryota; Viridiplantae; Streptophyta; Magnoliopsida; Brassicales; Brassicaceae. The record is from RNAcentral.
GAUCCUGAAGAAAGGUGCUCAUG